GGUAAUGAUGGCAGAGAGGUCACACCCGUUCCCAUACCGAACACGGAAGUUAAGCUCUCUAGCGCCGAUGGUAGUUGGGACCUUNAUUAUUCCGCAGUAGCUCAGCGGUAGAGCUAUCGGCUGUUAACC
Molecule: ribosomal RNA, 129 nt
Filed under: Bacillus thuringiensis
Lineage: Bacteria; Bacillati; Bacillota; Bacilli; Caryophanales; Bacillaceae
Source: RNAcentral